AUGCUCGGUGUUAUUUGCUGUUUGAUAAUAGGCCUUAAAACCAGGAUGUUUGAUAAUAGGCCUAAAAACCAAGAUAAACAGAUGUUUUCACACCUUUGCUUUGCCUCUGUGUUGACCAGAAGAAAUUACUUACAGAGUACGUUUCUUACAAAACCUUUCCUCUGCAAUUGUGUUAAGUUAUUUUUGAUAGCAAACUUUUGUUCUAACCUCAUUGGCAAACCUGAUGACCUGAUCCAAUUACUUACCUGUGUAAAGUGCAAACUUGUGUGCUCACUGCCUAUUCUUCUCUUAUUGGAGUCGCAUUCACCUGCGUUCCAUUCAAGUAAUGGAUACAUAGUUGUUGCUAAGUCUAUUCAUGGUCAUUGCAGGCACAGUUAA
This 378-nucleotide ribosomal RNA is filed under the name Triticum aestivum (bread wheat). RNAcentral describes it as "partial small subunit ribosomal RNA". The record is from RNAcentral. Lineage: Eukaryota; Viridiplantae; Streptophyta; Magnoliopsida; Poales; Poaceae.